This 326-nucleotide non-coding RNA is filed under the name Paenibacillus sp. RNAcentral's name for it is "T-box sequence". It matches the Rfam family "T-box leader". From Rfam's summary of the family: Uncharged tRNA acts as the effector for transcription antitermination of genes in the T-box leader family. Lineage: Bacteria; Bacillati; Bacillota; Bacilli; Caryophanales; Paenibacillaceae. The record is from RNAcentral.
GUAAACGUGAUGAACAAGAAUAGUAAGGUGAUCCGGACGAUACAGAGAGCUGCGGGUUGGUGCAACGCAGUCGAUGGGACCUGAACUCGCUUGGGAGCGGAGCGGUGGAACACUGUGAGUGAUGAUUCUCUCAGGUCCGGUAGUGCACGCCGGGUAAGUAUACCGUUACGAAGGCCUCCGUAAGAGGGCAAGCCUAAUAGUCCAUUUUAUCUAUAUGUAAUUAUGGCUGUAAGGUGUUUGAGUGGUUCUUCCGCCGAUCCUAUUAUAUGGGGAGGAAGGACAACAAGAGUGGUACCGCGAAGGGUGAACAGCCUGUCGUCUCUUGA